RNAcentral lists this ribosomal RNA (253 nucleotides) under uncultured bacterium. RNAcentral's name for it is "partial 16S ribosomal RNA". It matches the Rfam family "Bacterial small subunit ribosomal RNA", at positions 524 to 776 of the family's 1533-position model. The record is from RNAcentral.
UACGUAGGGAGCAAGCGCUAUCCGGAUUUACUGGGUGCAAAGGGCGCGUAGGCGGGAUGGCAAGUCAGAUGUGAAAUCCAGGGGCUCAACCCCUGAACUGCAUUUGAAACUGUCGUUCUUGAGUACUGGAGAGGUUGACGGAAUUCCUAGUGUAGCGGUGAAAUGCGUAGAUAUUAGGAGGAACACCAGUGGCGGAGGCGGUCAACUGGACAGCAACUGACGCUGAGGCGCGAAAGCGUGGGGAGCAAACAGG